Dioscorea cayenensis subsp. rotundata (Guinea yam) is the source of this 106-nucleotide small nucleolar RNA. The record is from RefSeq and is a predicted model, not a curated record. NCBI's taxonomy places the organism in Eukaryota, Viridiplantae, Streptophyta, Magnoliopsida, Dioscoreales, Dioscoreaceae.
AACUUGUGUUGUGGGCAUCAUUUCAAAAGAUCCUUGUAUCUUUCCUAAGCUUCAUAGAGUGUCUCACCAUCUUGUUGAGUGAAAAAUGCAAUGUCAUGUCAAAGUU